AAAGUCGUAACAAGGUUUCCGUAGGUGAACCUGCGGAAGGAUCAUUACAGUGUUAGCUGCCCUCACGGGUAGCAAACCUCACCCUUGUGUAUUAUAUCUAAAAUUCUGAAAAUGUCGUCUGAGUACUAUCUAAUAGUUAAAACUUUCAACAACGGAUCUCUUGGUUCUG
Molecule: unclassified non-coding RNA, 169 nt
Filed under: Ascomycota sp.
Lineage: Eukaryota; Fungi; Ascomycota
Description: partial contains small subunit ribosomal RNA, internal transcribed spacer 1, and 5.8S ribosomal RNA
Rfam family: Eukaryotic small subunit ribosomal RNA (bases 1-47)
Source: RNAcentral